UCAGACGAUGCGUCAUGCAUAUCAAUAAGCGGAGGAAAAGAAACUAACAAGGAUUCCCUCAGUAACGGCGAGUGAAGCGGGAAGAGCUCAAAUUUGAAAUCUUGAAAGGUCACCUUUCACGAAUUGUAGUUUAAAGAAGUGUUUUCUGUUACGAUCGUAAUAUAAGUUCUUUGGAAUAGGACAUCACAGAGGGUGAGAAUCCCGUCUAUGAUUGCGAUUUGUGGCUUUGUGAUACACUUUCAAAGAGUCGGGUUGUUUGGGAAUGCAGCCCAAAACGGGAGGUAAAUUUCUUCUAAGGCUAAAUAUUGGCGAGAGACCGAUAGCGAACAAGUACCGUGAGGGAAAGAUGAAAAGAACUUUGAAAAGAGAGUUAAAUAGUACGUGAAAUUGUCAAAAGGGAAGCGUUUAACACCAGUGUUGUUUUCUGAAAAUCAACCUCUGUUAGCUUUAUGCAUGUUUGUUUAGACCUAAUCAGCUAUCUUGCAUGUUCUAUUGUUUGCAGUGGUGCACUCUUCAGUUUACAGGUCAACAUCAGUUUUUUUUACCGUAAAAAAGUUAAAGAAAGGUAGCUCAUGGCUCCGGUCGUGAGUGUUAUAGUCUUUUUCCUAUGCGGUAGGAGAGACUGAGGUCUGCAGUGUAGGCUAUUUGGCUAGAUACUCAGGUGCUAUGUGAUACCAUUUCAUAAACAACUUGUUGAUUAUGUUUUGUCUAUUGCAUACUCGCUUGUACUAUCAUACCUACGCUUAGGAUGUUGACUGAUAUGUAGUCGU
Molecule: ribosomal RNA, 770 nt
Filed under: uncultured Neocallimastigales
Lineage: Eukaryota; Fungi; Neocallimastigomycota; Neocallimastigomycetes; Neocallimastigales
Description: partial large subunit ribosomal RNA
Rfam family: Eukaryotic large subunit ribosomal RNA (bases 4-661)
Source: RNAcentral